Molecule: long non-coding RNA, 2587 nt
Organism: Carassius auratus (goldfish)
Lineage: Eukaryota; Metazoa; Chordata; Actinopteri; Cypriniformes; Cyprinidae
Exons: 3
Source: RefSeq, a predicted model, not a curated record
UGCUGCAGCGCCGGGGACCAGUUGGGGGUUCAGUGCCUUGCUCAAGGGCACCUAAGUCGUGGCAUUGAGGUAUCUCAAAUCCAGGAGCCCUCAGAAUCCGAUCCAGUCCUGAUGCUUCCAGAGUCCUCUAUGGAAGAGGUUGUUUCUAAAUCCACUCCAGAUAGAGUGGUUAACCAAGCCCGCUGAGAAGAGAACUGUUCAGGAGCUCACUCCCGCUCCAGAGAGCGCAGUCCCAGAGCCUGCUAUAGAGGAGGUUGUUCCCAAGCCUGCUCCAUAGUGAGCCGUUGCAGAUCCCGCUCCCUCUCCGGUGUUGGCCUCAGCCCCUGAGUCCACUUUGGUGUCAGCUCCAGGGCCUCAUUGUUUGUGUUUAAGCACUUGGCUCUGUCUUUGUGUUGUUCACUUAUGUAGUCCUCAUUAAUCUGAGGGUCGUCUACUCUCUCUUAUGUCAUCUGCAACCUUUUAUAUUGUGCUCUCUGUCCCACAUGUCUUGCCAGUUCGUUAACCUUGAUCCUUUUAUGUAGAUUCGUAGUUACCUAGAACAGAGUUAAAUCUAGUGCUUUUCUUGUUAUUGCUAAUUGUCUGUCCUUUUAUUGGUUUUUCCUCUAGCUAUAGAAUUGUCCUGCCCUGUAGGCUGAGUUUUCUUGGCUGCUUACUGUAGCUCUACUGUUGCAGUGCCUGUGCACCCACAUGUGUGUGUGCAGGCUCAUAUGCUUGGUGUUCCUGGCUGGCCAACGCUGCUCUCCUCUGGUCUCCCUCUGCCCUGACAUUACUGUUCUCUGGCCAACUGUGAUCUCGGGCUGGACUCUGAGGCCAUUAUCGCAGGCUUUGUGCCUUACCCCAGUCUACCAGUGUUUGUGCCACAUACCUGCCUAAUUGUUUUGACCUUGUUCACUCCCCUUCUCACCUUCUCUUGUCUUGUCUUAAUCUGCUAACACUCACUCUGCAUUUGAGUCCUUUUUUCUUUCUGCCUGUUUAUGUGUGUGUUGUGGUCAGCAAUGUGGAUUAAAGUGGAGUUUCUAGGUUUGGCAGAUGAGAUGGCAAAACAGAAGCAAAGCACUGCAGUGUCAGGUGGUAAGGCUGAAGGUUGAGAGCUGAUGACCCACACUUCUCUGAGGGAGAGAAAGCACAGUUCAGAAGGGCAAAGUUUCUUUGUCUUCCACCUCUCUCAUUCCAUUCCCAAUCUCAAAACCUUUCUUACCACCUUCUACUUCUCUUCUACUACUUUCACAGAAAGUAACACCUGCUGAGCAUCUUGUGUCCCAUUGCACAAAUUUAUGUUGAUGUCAGCAAUGAAAACAGUACAACAUCUCCAAAUAUUUGUAGAACAGCGGUCUGUCCAUUUUAUCUCUCUUUCACACCUCUCUCUUUCUCACUUUCUCAUACUCUCACAUCUCUUCCUCCUACAUUAUGUUUUUUAUCGAUUUAGUUUUCCAAAGCCUCAGCCUGGGAUGAUGUGGCUUUCACACGUGAUGUGAAAUGUUGUUUCUGUCGAGAUUAACACAUGUUUGUAAAGUCUUUUCUCUGGACUGGAUCUGAGUUAGAGGACAGGAUAAAAUUGCAUGCCAAUUAAAUCUCUUGCAUAUGUUCUGCCGGGAAGACUCAAUUGUUAGCAUUUAUUAUUACCUUCUCAAUUGUCCAAUCACGUUCUAAUAAUAUAAGUAUAAAGGACCCGUGCUUACACUUGUCUGAGUUGCAGAUGCUGAACACUUCACUCACCACCAUACUCCCCACCACCACCAAGAUGGUUCCUCCCUUGACCAAUAAGAAAGGUUCUUCUCCAUCUUCUUUAUCACCGCAGGAUGUUUCUUACCCUCCAACCACCUCACUACCACCAGGACGGUCCCUCCUAAAAACUUCACAGGGGGUUGGCUGCACCCCUGCCUUUAUCUUCAGGAGGAAAUGCUGAAUCCGUACCCUCGGAUAUCGAGUUACAGAUGGGGCCUACGCCAAAUACUUAGUGGGAGUGGCAGUGGUCAAAGAUGUGGUUAACGACUUAUCUCGUCAUCACAAGCUCUUGGUCACACACUCCUCAAAGUGGCAUUGCCUGAAGGGCACUGAUAACACACAUCCUGCACUUCUAUUGGUUGAUGUCCAGAGAACCUGAAAUCUCACACAGAAGAAUCUGUACACUAGAGGAAAGUGGCCUGACUCAUGUUUCUCUUCAUCGAUGUCUUCAAUGGCGGCAUCUGGUCUGAAAUGUCCUCAAGGAAGAACUCCACCUCCCGGCCUUCCAUUUUUUCUGAGAUCAGGAGUAUUUGCUGGCCCCAUUUGAUCUUUUCAGUACGCUCGGGUUUAAUGUCUGGCCAGUGUUUUUCGAGCAGCAGGUAGUCACAGGCAAGCCGUUAUAGGGUCAUCACUCUUUUGUGUCACUGUAAUUCACACACAGAUGGAGACCUCUAAACUUUGACAGAGGUCAUUUUGAAAUUAUUACUUUAUAAAUGUCUGUUUUGGUUGGGUGUUUUGAAGAAAGGAAUGAUCUUUGUACAGAUUUUAAAGAAAAAUACAACCCUGUAAAUGUUUUCUUCUGUGAAGGAUGUGUUUUCCUAUGUGAGACCUUUUUCUUUAGUUUUAAAUAGCCCUUUUACAU